AGUGGUGCAUGGUUGUCGUCAGCUCGCCUCUUGAGAUGUUGGGUUAAGUCCCGCAACGAGCGCAACCCUCGUUCUAUGUUGCCAGCACGUAAUGGUGGGAACUCAUGGGAUACUGCCGGGGUCAACUCAGAGGAAGGUGGGGAUGACGUCAAAUCAUCAUGCCCCUUAUGUCUUGGGCUUCACGCAUGCUACAAUGGCCGGUACAAAGGGCUGCAAUACCGUGAGGUGGAGCAAAUCCCAAAAAGCCGGUCCCAGUUCGGAUUGAGGUCUGCAACUCCACCUCAUGAAGUCGGAGUCGCUAGUAAUCGCAGAU
RNAcentral lists this ribosomal RNA (313 nucleotides) under uncultured Actinomycetes bacterium. RNAcentral's name for it is "bacterial SSU rRNA". It matches the Rfam family "Bacterial small subunit ribosomal RNA", at positions 1036 to 1349 of the family's 1533-position model. Lineage: Bacteria; Bacillati; Actinomycetota; Actinomycetes. The record is from RNAcentral.